AGUAGUAAAUUUAAUUCAUAUGUAGCACAGUAUUGCUUUAUGCUGUAGCAUCCACAAUUUUCAAAAGCAUUUUGAGACAAAUGAGCAGAUAGGAAUAACAACCUUAAUUGUAUAUACAAGAAAUAUUCAUCUUUAUUCAAAAGCUAUGUCCAAAGGAAAAAGCAUUGAGCAUAUACCUCAAUACAGAAGUUCUACAAAAUUUUUUUUUUUUAAAUGAUUAAAAAAAUACCAAAAACUUGGACUAAUUAUGUAUCAUAAUUAAUUUAAAAAAGACCCUCCAAAUAUGAAAUUAAUUAACAAAAGAUUCUUAGCAGGAAUUACAAAUGAAAGUACAGUACACAAUUAUUCUUCCAAUUCCUACCUAAAUAAUGGUUGGUAUGACUAUUGUUUUGUUUAAAAAACUAAAUGUUUUCGGUCAGAUAAUACAAUAUUAAGCUGCGCAACUUGUUUAAAAUAAAGAUAAUUUUCUGAUAACAGGUAAAAGUUGCAGCCAAUUCAGUGUAAAAGAAAUGUAAAUAUAUAUUUUUUUCUCAGACGAUUUGUUGUUAUUUUUUUCCACAGAAAACUUGAAUUCAUUAUGCAUUUAGAUAGUUUACAACAUAAAAUAUUUAAGACACCAAAUGAGUAGUAAAAUCAAACAAAAGAUACAAAAAUUAAAAUUAACACACCAUAAACACAUGUUAAAAUUCAUUAAUAAUUAGGCACAACACAAAGCAAAUUUACAGACAUAAAUUUGUUUUCCAAAAGUUAGCAAAGCAAAAACUUUUGCAACAACUUCUAAUAGCAUUCUCACUCUAUCACAUGUUGUUAGCCACGAACACAGUAUCAUGGCCAAUAAAGUCUAGAGAUCCAGAAUGUUUACAUUAUGAAAAUGCAUAGAAAGCAGGGCAGAUCCGGUAAAGGCCUGGGGAGGGGGAGGGGGGUGUGUGUGAUUGAUAUAACAAUACCCUAGACGAUCCAGGGUCAUGCCUCCACAAACAAUUUUUUUUCUAGACGCCCAAAAAUAACAUCUGAAACGUUUUUUUUUGGCGAUCAAUUAUUUCUUUUUCUUUGUUCUUUUUUUUUCAUUUUUUUUACUUUCCGACACUAAAUCCGCACCUGGAAAGGUGAACUAUGGACUCAAAAUGAAUUUACUAGUUGAGGGAAUAAUACCUUACAGUGACAUUUUUGUUGUCAGGAAAAUUGCAAUUAACAUCUAAUAUAAUUGAGUUCACAUUCAUGCUGGUAUAAAUGAAAAUAUCCUGAAUUGGCAAUACUGUGAAUGGACCUUUCCACAAGCACCGCUCCUUGGAUAUUGUUGCUAAGGUCCUGGCUAUUAUACUGUGGAUGGACCUUUCUGCUAAGCUAAGCCACGCCCCUUGGAUAUUAUUGCCAAGGUCCCACAAAAAAAUAGCGUAAAUGUAUACACAGUAAUCACAUGCACUGUGGGACACAGUGUUGAUGUGCUGAUUGGUUAGUUGUUAAAUUUGAUUGACACCCUGGAAAGUCCAUUGCAAUGAUGUUCUCAUUUACAUAAAGAGGCACCUGUGAGAACGUGCCUACCACAUAACACAUAAGAAUGUUACCUACAAAAUAUAAUAAUCAAAAUUAACAAAAUAACAGCAUAUUGCUCUAAUGCAUUUAAAAAAUUCAUUUCUUAUCUGAUAGCAAAAAUGAGGAUUCAAUAGGACUAAUUGAACACUACACAAUUCUAUAAUAUAUACCUAAUAUACACAUUUUAAAAAUUAAUUUAAACUAUU
Molecule: long non-coding RNA, 1739 nt
Filed under: Anneissia japonica
Lineage: Eukaryota; Metazoa; Echinodermata; Crinoidea; Comatulida; Comatulidae
Description: uncharacterized LOC117115938
Source: RNAcentral